Molecule: ribosomal RNA, 465 nt
Filed under: uncultured bacterium
Lineage: Bacteria
Description: partial 16S ribosomal RNA
Rfam family: Bacterial small subunit ribosomal RNA
Source: RNAcentral
CCUACGGGGGGCAGCAGUGGGGAAUAUUGCGCAAUGGGCGAAAGCCUGACGCAGCGACGCCGCGUGAGGGAUGAAGGUCUUCGGAUCGUAAACCUCUGUCAGCAGGGAAGAACGGUCACUGUGCUAAUCAGCAGUGAAUUGACGGUACCUGCAAAGGAAGCACCGGCUAACUCCGUGCCAGCAGCCGCGGUAAUACGGAGGGUGCGAGCGUUAAUCGGAAUUACUGGGCGUAAAGCGCUCGUAGGCGGUAUGUCAAGUCAAGGGUGAAAUCCCCGCGCUCAACGUGGGAACUGCCUUUGAAACUGGCAAACUGGAGUGUGUGAGAGGAUAGUGAAAUUCCAGGUGUAGGAGUGAAAUGCGUAGAUAUCUGGAGGAACAUCAGUGGCGAAGGCGACUAUCUGGCACAUAACUGACGCUGAGGAGCGAAAGCGUGGGUAGCAAACAGGAUUAGAUACCCGAGUAGUC